CAAUAGCGUAUAUUAACGUUGUUGCAGUUAAAAAGCUCGUAGUUGGAUUUCAGAACUACUGGACCUGCCGCCUACGGUGUGCGGGUUCGAGUUGUUCUUCUUGUUGAUUAAGCCUCCUGCGCCUCACGGCGUGGGUUGUGGAGUCAGCACGUUUACUUUGAAGAAAUUAGAGUGUUCAAAGCAAGCUAUCGCUUGAAUACAUUAGCAUGGAAUAAUGGAAUAGGACUUCCGUCCUAUUUCGUUGGUUUCCGGGAGGGAAGUAAUGAUCAAUAGGGGUGGUUGGGGGCAUUCGUAUUCAACUGUCAGAGGUGAAAUUCUUGGAUUAGUUGAAGACGAACUACUGCGAAAGCAUUUGCCAAGCACUCGCCCGCUGA
This 374-nucleotide ribosomal RNA is filed under the name uncultured eukaryote. Its description in RNAcentral is "partial 18S ribosomal RNA". It matches the Rfam family "Eukaryotic small subunit ribosomal RNA", at positions 592 to 976 of the family's 1831-position model. The record is from RNAcentral.